UUUUGGACAAUGGGGGCAACCCUGAUCCAGCCAUGCCGCGUGUGUGAAGAAGGUCUUCGGGUUGUAAAGCUCUUUAAUCUGGGAAGAAAGGGCAUUGGCCUAAUAUCUUAUUGUUUUGACGUUACCGGCAGAAUAAGCACCGGCUAACUCCGUGCCAGCAGCCGCGGUAAUACAGUAGGGUGCAAGCGUUAAUCGGAAUUACUGGGCGUAAAGCGUGCGCAGGUGGUUUGUCAAGUCGGAUGUAAAUCCCCGGGCUCAACCUGGAAUUGCAUUCAAAACUGCCCGGCUAAGUGUGGAAAAGGGGGGUGAAUUUCCUGUGAGCGGUAAAUGCGAAUUGGAGAACACCAAGUGGCAAAGGAGGCCCCCUGGGAAACUCUGCGCUAGUCGCAAAUCUUA
RNAcentral lists this ribosomal RNA (396 nucleotides) under uncultured bacterium. RNAcentral's name for it is "bacterial SSU rRNA". It matches the Rfam family "Bacterial small subunit ribosomal RNA", at positions 362 to 762 of the family's 1533-position model. The record is from RNAcentral.